GAUGAACGCUGGCGGCGUGCCUAAUACAUGCAAGUCGAACGCUGGAGAUCUAGCUUGCUAGAUCGAAGGAGUGGCGCACGGGUGUGUAAUACAUAAGCAACCUACCCACGAAGACUGGGAUAAUCUCUGGAAACGGGGACUUAUACCGGAGAGGUAAUCGGAAGGCCUUUUUUGGUUAUUAAAUGAUAAAAACACUGGUGGAGGGGGUUAUGGCGCAUGAGUUGGGGGGUGAUGUAACGGCCCACCAAGACGAUGGUGCGUAGCCGUCCUGAGAGGGUGAGCGGCGACAUUGGGACGGAGACACGGCCCAGACUCCUACGGGAGGCAGCAGUAGGGAAUGUUCGGCACUGGGGGCAACCCUGACCGCGCAACGCCGCGUGAGUGAAGACGGCCUUCGGGUUGUAAAGCUCUGUUGUAAGGGAAGAACGGUAGAUAGAGAAUAUCUAAGUGACGGUACCUUACCAGAAAGCCACGGCUAACUACGUG
RNAcentral lists this ribosomal RNA (486 nucleotides) under uncultured bacterium. Its description in RNAcentral is "partial 16S ribosomal RNA". It matches the Rfam family "Bacterial small subunit ribosomal RNA", at positions 28 to 507 of the family's 1533-position model. The record is from RNAcentral.